This 379-nucleotide ribosomal RNA is filed under the name uncultured bacterium. Its description in RNAcentral is "bacterial SSU rRNA". It matches the Rfam family "Bacterial small subunit ribosomal RNA", at positions 30 to 410 of the family's 1533-position model. The record is from RNAcentral.
AUUGAACGCUGGCGGCAUGCCUUACACAUGCAAGUCGAACGGCAGCACGGGAGCAAUCCUGGUGGCGAGUGGCGAACGGGUGAGUAAUAUAUCGGAACGUGCCCAGUCGUGGGGAUAACGUAGCGAAAGCUACGCUAAUACCGCAUACGAUCUAUGGAUGAAAGCGGGGGAUCGCAAGACCUCGCGCGAUUGGAGCGGCCGAUAUCGGAUUAGGUAGUUGGUGAGGUAAAGGCUCACCAAGCCGACGAUCUGUAGCUGGUCUGAGAGGACGACCAGCCACACUGGGACUGAGACACGGCCCAGACUCCUACGGGAGGCAGCAGUGGGGAAUUUUGGACAAUGGGCGCAAGCCUGAUCCAGCAAUGCCGCGUGCAGGAUG